RNAcentral lists this ribosomal RNA (329 nucleotides) under uncultured eukaryote. RNAcentral describes it as "partial 18S ribosomal RNA". It matches the Rfam family "Eukaryotic small subunit ribosomal RNA", at positions 1470 to 1796 of the family's 1831-position model. The record is from RNAcentral.
CCCUUAGAUGUCCGGGGCCGCACGCGCGCUACACUGAAGGAAUCAGCGUGGAUGCCUCCCUGGUCCGAAAGGAUUGGGAAACCCGUUGAAUCUCCUUCGUGCUAGGGAUUGGGGCUUGUAAUUCUUCCCCAUGAACGAGGAAUACCUUGUAAGCGCGGGUCAUCAUCCCGCGCUGAAUACGUCCCUGCCCUUUGCACACACCGCCCGUCGCUCCUACCGAUUGAGUGGUCCGGUGAGGCUUUGGGAUCUGAGCGGAAAGAGCGUUUCGCUGUUUCUGCUCGGAAAACUCAGUCGAACCUUAUCAUUUAGAGGAAGGAGAAGUCGUAACA